UACGGGGGGGGCAAGCGUUGUUCGGAAUUACUGGGCGUAAAGGGCUCGUAGGCGGCCAACUAAGUCAGACGUGAAAUCCCUCGGCUUAACCGGGGAACUGCGUCUGAUACUGGAUGGCUUGAGUUCGGGAGAGGGAUGCGGAAUUCCAGGUGUAGCGGUGAAAUGCGUAGAUAUCUGGAGGAACACCGGUGGCGAAGGCGGCAUCCUGGACCGGCACUGACACUGAGGAGCGAAAGCCAGGGGAGCAAACGGG
Molecule: ribosomal RNA, 253 nt
Filed under: uncultured bacterium
Lineage: Bacteria
Description: partial 16S ribosomal RNA
Rfam family: Bacterial small subunit ribosomal RNA
Source: RNAcentral